RNAcentral lists this transfer RNA (68 nucleotides) under Dipodomys ordii (Ord's kangaroo rat). It matches the Rfam family "tRNA". From Rfam's summary of the family: Transfer RNA (tRNA) molecules are approximately 80 nucleotides in length. Their secondary structure includes four short double-helical elements and three loops (D, anti-codon, and T loops). The record is from Rfam by way of RNAcentral. Lineage: Eukaryota; Metazoa; Chordata; Mammalia; Rodentia; Heteromyidae.
GGAGUUAGCUCAGUGGUAGAGUGCUUGCCUUGCAUGCAUGAGGCCCUGGGUUCCAUUCCUCAGCACCA